UUCUGAUCUAAUGCACUUGAGGAAGCUGUAACAUCACUAGCCAAAAUGCUGAGAGUAUUUAACCUGAAUCUGAUAAAGACAAUCAGACAAUUGUAGUUGAAAUAACCGCUCUUCUGGACUCUUUAAAAGAGCAGUAUUGUGAAAAUGAAAGCAAUAGAGUUGCUCUAGAAUAAAAAUGACUAGCCGGGGAUGUAGCUCAUUAGUAGAGCUCUUGCCUGCCAUUGUCCUGGGUUCAAUCCCCAGCAUUGCAUAACAAAUAAACAAACAAAACCCUCAAAUAUUCAAACUGUUAGAAUAAAAAUGACUAGACAGCUAAAUUGAAUGUGUGAUUUUGUUUUGGAGCCUGAAUCAAAGUGAGGAGGAAGGUGGCUACCAAGGGGACAAUUAGAAAAUUUGUGAUGAUUGGGAGUCUUGACAUAUUAGAUUUUGUCAUUAUACCAAUGUAAAAUAUUUGGAGUGUGA
RNAcentral lists this long non-coding RNA (462 nucleotides) under Marmota monax (woodchuck). Lineage: Eukaryota; Metazoa; Chordata; Mammalia; Rodentia; Sciuridae. The record is from RNAcentral.